CCUACGGGGGGCAGCAGUGGGGAAUCUUGCGCAAUGGCCGAAAGGCUGACGCAGCGACGCCGCGUGGAGGAUGACGCCCUUCGGGGUGUAAACUCCUGUUGCCCGGGACGAAUGCCUGUUUUGCCAGGAGUGACGGUACCGGGUGAGGAAGCACCGGCUAACUCUGUGCCAGCAGCCGCGGUAAUACAGAGGGUGCGAGCGUUGUCCGGAAUCACUGGGCGUUAAGGGCGCGUAGGUGGCGGGGUGAGCGGAAAGUCCGGGGCGCAACCCCGGAUCGGCCAUGCGAACUGCCGCGCUGGAGCACGGUAGAGGAACAUGGAAGUCCGGGUGUAGCGGUGGAAUGCGUAGAGAUCCGGAAGAACACCGGUGGCGAAGGCGGUGUGCUGGGCCGUUGCUGACACUGAGGCGCGACAGCGUGGGGAGCAAACAGGAUUAGAUACCCGGGUAGUC
This 450-nucleotide ribosomal RNA is filed under the name uncultured bacterium. RNAcentral's name for it is "partial 16S ribosomal RNA". It matches the Rfam family "Bacterial small subunit ribosomal RNA", at positions 338 to 795 of the family's 1533-position model. The record is from RNAcentral.